RNAcentral lists this ribosomal RNA (245 nucleotides) under uncultured Conexibacter sp. RNAcentral's name for it is "partial 16S ribosomal RNA". It matches the Rfam family "Bacterial small subunit ribosomal RNA", at positions 524 to 768 of the family's 1533-position model. The record is from RNAcentral. Lineage: Bacteria; Bacillati; Actinomycetota; Thermoleophilia; Solirubrobacterales; Conexibacteraceae.
UACGUAGGGGGCAAGCGUUGUCCGGAAUCAUUGGGCGUAAAGAGCGUGUAGGCGGCCCGAUAAGUCCGCUGUGAAAGUCCAGGGCUCAACCCUGGAAUGCCGGUGGAUACUGUCGGGCUCGAAUCCGGAAGAGGUGAGUGGAAUUCCUGGUGUAGCGGUGAAAUGCGCAGAUAUCAGGAGGAACACCAAUGGCGAAGGCAGCUCACUGGGACGGUAUUGACGCUGAGACGCGAAAGCGUGGGGAG